GAUAUAUUCCCUCCGUUCUGAAUUAUUUAUCGCGGAUAUAAAUGUAUCUAAAUGUAUUUUAGUUUUAGAUACAUCCAUUUUUGCGACAAGUAAUUUAAAACGGAGGGAGUAUUAC
Molecule: non-coding RNA, 115 nt
Organism: Triticum urartu
Lineage: Eukaryota; Viridiplantae; Streptophyta; Magnoliopsida; Poales; Poaceae
Source: Rfam